AUACUUACCUGGCAGGGGAGACACCAUGAUCAUGAAGGUGGUUUUCCCAGGGUGAGGCUCAUCCAUUGCACUGCGGGUGUGCUGACCCCUGCGAUUUCCCCAAAUGCGGGAAACUCGACUGCAUAAUUUGUGGUAGUGGGGGACUGCGUUCGCGCUCUCCCCUG
This 164-nucleotide small nuclear RNA is filed under the name Chrysemys picta bellii (western painted turtle). RNAcentral describes it as "U1 spliceosomal RNA (ENSCPBG00000009064.1)". It matches the Rfam family "U1 spliceosomal RNA". From Rfam's summary of the family: U1 is a small nuclear RNA (snRNA) component of the spliceosome (involved in pre-mRNA splicing). The record is from Rfam by way of RNAcentral. Lineage: Eukaryota; Metazoa; Chordata; Testudines; Emydidae.